Molecule: ribosomal RNA, 488 nt
Filed under: uncultured bacterium
Lineage: Bacteria
Description: bacterial SSU rRNA
Rfam family: Bacterial small subunit ribosomal RNA
Source: RNAcentral
GAUUCUGGCUCAGAAUGAACGCUGGCGGCAUGGAUUAGGCAUGCAAGUCGAACGAGAAAGCCCGCAAGGGCGAGUAAAGUGGCGAAAGGGUGAGUAACACGUGAGCAACCUGCCCCCGAGACCGGAACAAGCCUGGGAAACCGGGUCUGAAACCGGAUGAGGACCGGGAAGGCAUCUUCCCGCCUCCAAACAUUUCAUGGCUCGGGGAUGGGCUCGCGGCCCAUUAGCUUGUUGGCGGGGUAACGGCCCACCAAGGCUGCGACGGGUAGGUGGUCUGAGAGGAUGGUCACCCACACUGGGACUGAGACACUGCCCAGACUCCUACGGGAGGCUGCAGUCGAGAAUCUUCCGCAAUGGGCGAAAGCCUGACGGAAGCGAUGCCGCGUGAGGGACGAAGGCCUUCGGGUCGUAAACCUCUGUCGCAGGGGACGAAAUUGAACGACGGUACCCUGCAAGAAAGCCACGGCUAACUACGUGCCAGCAGCUGC